CCCAGCUUUCUUGUAACAAAGUGGUUCAUGGUUGUAACGGGUAACGGGGAAUCAGGGUUCGAUUCCGGAGAGGGAGCCUGAGAAACGGCUACCACAUCCAAGGAAGGCAGCAGGCGCGCAAAUUACCCACUCCCGGCACGGGGAGGUAGUGACGAAAAAUAACGAUACGGAACUCAUACGAGGCUCCGUAAUCGGAAUGAGUACACUUUAAAUCCUUUAACGAGGAUCUAUUGGAGGGCAAGUCUGGUGCCAGCAGCCGCGGUAAUUCCAGCUCCAAUAGCGUAUAUUAAAGUUGUUGCGGUUAAAAAGCUCGUAGUUGGAUCUCGGUUUCACUCAGGCGGUACACCUUGCGGUGUUCACUGUCUGGGCGGACGUUUCUGUUGGUUCGCUGUUGGUUCUCUUAAUCGAGUGCCAAUUGGUGGCCAGCACGUUUACUUUGAAAAGAUUGGAGUGCUCAAAGCAGGCGUUACAGCCUGAACAUUAGUGCAUGGAAUAAUGGAAUAGGAUCUCGAUUCUAUUUCGUUGGCUUUCGGAGUCGAGGUAAUGAUUAAUAGGGACAGACGGGGGCAUUCGUACUGCGACGUUAGAGGUGAAAUUCUUGGAUCGUCGCAAGACGAACUACUGCGAAAGCAUUUGCCAAGAAUGUUUUCAUUAAUCAAGAACGAAAGUUAGAGGUUCGAAGGCGAUCAGAUACCGCCCUAGUUCUAACCAUAAACGAUGCCAACCGGCGAUCCGUCGUCGUUAAUUGAAUGACUCGACGGGCAGCCUCCGGGAAACCAGAGUGUUUGGGUUCCGGGGGAAGUAUGGUUGCAAAGCUGAAACUUAAAGGAAUUGACGGAAGGGCACCACCAGGAGUGGAGCCUGCGGCUUAAUUUGACCCAACACGGGAAAUCUCACCAGGCCCGGACACCGGAAGGAUUGACAGAUUGAGAGCUCUUUCUUGAUUCGGUGGGUGGUGGUGCAUGGCCGUUCUUAGUUGGUGGAGCGAUUUGUCUGGUUAAUUCCGAUAACGAUCGAGACUCUGGCCUACUAACUAGAAGGGUCGUUCUUUACGAGCGGCCCUCUGCUUCUUAGAGGGACGGGCGGCGUUUAGCCGCACGAGAAUGAGCAAUAACAGGUCUGUGAUGCCCUUAGAUGUUCUGGGCUGCACGCGCGCUACACUGAAGGAAUCAGCAUGUUCUCCCCUCCCUGAAAAGGGCGGGUAAUCCGUUGAAACUCCUUCGUGAUGGGGAUUGGAGAUUGUAAUUAUUCUCCAUGAACGAGGAAUU
This 1268-nucleotide ribosomal RNA is filed under the name metagenome. Its description in RNAcentral is "SSU rRNA". It matches the Rfam family "Eukaryotic small subunit ribosomal RNA", at positions 312 to 1612 of the family's 1831-position model. The record is from RNAcentral.